UCUUAUGAAGUUAGCGGCGGACGGGUGAGUAACACGUGGGUAACCUGCCCAUAAGACUGGGAUAACUCCGGGAAACCGGGGCUAAUACCGGAUAACAUUUUGAACCGCAUGGUUCGAAAUUGAAAGGCGGCUUCGGCUGUCACUUAUGGAUGGACCCGCGUCGCAUUAGCUAGUUGGUGAGGUAACGGCUCACCAAGGCAACGAUGCGUAGCCGACCUGAGAGGGUGAUCGGCCACACUGGGACUGAGACACGGCCCAGACUCCUACGGGAGGCAGCAGUAGGGAAUCUUCCGCAAUGGACGAAAGUCUGACGGAGCAACGCCGCGUGAGUGAUGAAGGCUUUCGGGUCGUAAAACUCUGUUGUUAGGGAAGAACAAGUGCUAGUUGAAUAAGCUGGCACCUUGACGG
RNAcentral lists this ribosomal RNA (408 nucleotides) under Bacillus cereus. RNAcentral describes it as "bacterial SSU rRNA". It matches the Rfam family "Bacterial small subunit ribosomal RNA", at positions 82 to 475 of the family's 1533-position model. The record is from RNAcentral. Lineage: Bacteria; Bacillati; Bacillota; Bacilli; Caryophanales; Bacillaceae.